AGGCGCGGUGGGAGCCACAGCUUCUUCCGGCUUUCGCUUUGCCCUCAGGGGCUGUUUGCGGUGAAAUGGCGCGUGGGGUGUACCUCGAGCCUCAGCAGGAAGGGAAGGUCGCCUGGGCGAUCGGCUGAGAAAGUGGGGUGAAUCGGCGAGAUGUUGGUGCGGGUCGAGCGUGGCAUUUUCGCCUUCCCGCCUUUUGCGAACUCCUGGCUGCACGCAAGGAAAGCAGACGCCGCAGAGACCCUGGAAGGUGAGAGACAGCGCGGCUGCAUUUCUGGGGCUAGCUAGUUAACUUUGAAUGGGGGAGAGAAAACAGUACUCCAUUUCCGAGGACCAUGAGGAGGAGGUGCUGGAAUGGCUGAGGGAGAACAAGUACCUGUGGAGGAAGGUGAGGAAGGGCCACAAGACUCUUAUCGGACACAAAUGAAAGCAGGCGCUGGAGAGAGAAGG
This 447-nucleotide long non-coding RNA is filed under the name Laticauda laticaudata (blue-ringed sea krait). Its description in RNAcentral is "lncRNA (ENSLLTG00000003925.1)". Lineage: Eukaryota; Metazoa; Chordata; Lepidosauria; Squamata; Elapidae. The record is from RNAcentral.